RNAcentral lists this ribozyme (63 nucleotides) under Branchiostoma floridae (Florida lancelet). RNAcentral's name for it is "drz-Bflo-2". It matches the Rfam family "Mammalian CPEB3 ribozyme", at positions 12 to 78 of the family's 78-position model. From Rfam's summary of the family: The mammalian CPEB3 ribozyme is a self cleaving RNA located in the second intron of the CPEB3 gene which belongs to a family of genes regulating messenger RNA polyadenylation. The record is from RNAcentral. Lineage: Eukaryota; Metazoa; Chordata; Leptocardii; Amphioxiformes; Branchiostomatidae.
GGGGACCAUAGAAGGAGCGUUCUCGUCGCGGUCCCUGUCAGGCUCGUCCUGCGAAUCCUUCUA